This 804-nucleotide ribosomal RNA is filed under the name uncultured bacterium. RNAcentral describes it as "bacterial SSU rRNA". It matches the Rfam family "Bacterial small subunit ribosomal RNA", at positions 636 to 1440 of the family's 1533-position model. The record is from RNAcentral.
UNUGACUUGAGUGCAGAAGGGGAGAGUGGAAUUCCAUGUGUAGCGGUGAAAUGCGUAGAUAUAUGGAGGAACACCAGUGGCGAAAGCGGCUCUCUGGUCUGUCACUGACGCUGAGGCUCGAAAGCGUGGGUAGCGAACAGGAUUAGAUACCCUGGUAGUCCACGCCGUAAAUGAUGAGUGCUAGGUGUUAGGCCCUUUCCGGGGCUUAGUGCCGGAGCUAACGCAAUAAGCACUCCGCCUGGGGAGUACGACCGCAAGGUUGAAACUCAAAGGAAUUGACGGGGGCCCGCACAAGCGGUGGAGCAUGUGGUUUAAUUCGAAGCAACGCGAAGAACCUUACCAGGUCUUGACAUCCCGAUGCUAUUCUUAGAGAUAGGAAGUUACUUCGGUACAUCGGAGACAGGUGGUGCAUGGUUGUCGUCAGCUCGUGUCGUGAGAUGUUGGGUUAAGUCCCGCAACGAGCGCAACCCUUAUUGUUAGUUGCCAUCAUUAAGUUGGGCACUCUAGCGAGACUGCCGGUAAUAAACCGGAGGAAGGUGGGGAUGACGUCAAAUCAUCAUGCCCCUUAUGACCUGGGCUACACACGUGCUACAAUGGUCGGUACAACGAGUUGCGAGCCGGUGACGGCAAGCUAAUCUCUGAAAGCCGAUCUCAGUUCGGAUUGGAGGCUGCAACUCGCCUCCAUGAAGUCGGAAUCGCUAGUAAUCGCGGAUCAGCACGCCGCGGUGAAUACGUUCCCGGGCCUUGUACACACCGCCCGUCACACCACGAGAGUUUGUAACACCCGGAGUCGGUGAGGUAACC